Molecule: long non-coding RNA, 1985 nt
Organism: Ruditapes philippinarum (Manila clam)
Lineage: Eukaryota; Metazoa; Mollusca; Bivalvia; Venerida; Veneridae
Exons: 3
Source: RefSeq, a predicted model, not a curated record
AUGUAAUCGAUGGUUAUUUGAUCAUUGAAAUGUUUGACUGGUAAAACUUAAUGUAACGUGAUUUCGCGAGAUAAAUAUUUUUGUUUCCACGUAAGAACACUUUAUCAUUUGCUAUAGAACAGUCUGUAUAAUCGGAUCAUUUUUCCCACACUAUAUCGCCAUGCCAAAUAAAUGCACAAUCAAUGGUAGGAAAUAUCCUAGCAAUUGAAAUCAAUAAAAAGUUAAAUGCAGUACGUAAGACUCUUAUUAUUCAAAUGCUGGUAAAUAAAAUUUCCUCUUAUUUCUUAUCAACAUGAAUUUCCCUUAUAUGAGGGGCCAGUCAUUUACACAUGUAUCAGAUGCAGUUUGAUUUUGAUAUCUGUGUAGUUGUUAAACUACUCGUUGUUAAUUGAAGUACUUUACCCAUACUGUUAGCAUACCAUGUGUUUCUUAUAUUAUGAUAAUGAUUCAUGGCAUUUGAUACAUGUAAAUGAUACGACUUUGGUAAGAUAUAUCUGAAAGCACAUUGUAUUCGACUAGCUAUCUUUUUAUUAAUGUAAUCAAACAACAUAUUAUCAAUCAGAAAACACAUUAUCAUAGUUAUAAAUCAAUAAAAGUAAUAGUUUGUUAAUUAGCCUGCUUAUCAACAAGUUGUAUGCUCGUAUCAUAAAAAGUUUUUACACUAAGCCAGUCUGUCCUAUAUACACUUAGCAGAUCGGAUCAUGCUGGGCAGAGAUAAUAUCUAUAAAAAUGACAGUAACAUGUGAAUUUCUUUGAUGUUGUAUGAGCAUUUGUACAAAGUACAUUGAAUAUAAAAAAAAAUAACAGUAUACAUUUUUGCGGGAGUAGAAUUAAUUUCAUUUUGGUAUUUGUUAUAUCAGUUUUUCAUGCGCUUAUGAGUUAACUAAGAUUAAUAGUAAUUGGAUUUUGCCUAUUGUAUUAGACAAACAUCCUUCCACCACAUGGUUAAAUUCUAAAACGAUUAUAUUUCGUCUUUCAGAUUGUGAAAAUUAUGAUAAUUCAACAUGUGUCAAAAGUUCAGGAGGAAGAUGAAAAUAUUUAGAGGGAAAAAAAAUGAAAACCUACCAAGAUUUUGUGACAGAAAGUGUGAUGAGAUCUCAGGUUGGAGACGGUAAUACGCUUAUAGUAUGCCCCAGAUCGACAUAGUGUAGGAGGACGAAAGAAGCUAGAAUACUAAUGAAGAUACAUGAACAUUGCUAUUUAUAGUUAUAACAAAAUAUUCAGAAUAUUGUUCCAUUUAACAUUCAGAUCUAGAUUCAGUUAUAAAAUACAAAGACAAAUAUACAAUCAGUGAGUUGGAUAGAUGAUUGAAAAAUCCCAAAGUCAGAGUGAUUAGUUCAGUGGUGAUAUAAGAAAAAACACAUGCAUGGAUGUUUGCUAUAUAAAACGCGGUGUUAAUAUUCAAGAAGGAUUUUGUUUAUCUUAUUUCUAAAACAUGCUUAAUUAAUACAUGAAGCGUUAUUAAAGUACAUACCGUCAAGUUUAAUAUUUUCAAAAAAUAUUAUGUAAAUCUUGCAUUUGUUAUAGUACCACAUUUCUUGUUUUGUACUUGUGAUUCCGAGUAUAAAAUAAAUUGCUAAAAUCAUAAGAAUGCUUAUUUAUUAACCCUAUUAAAGAGCUUCAAAAUGAAAAAAAUCAUAUUCCAAAAGUUUUGAAUGAGGUUAAAUCAUGGUCAGAAAAUUUGGUCAGAUAAGGUUGGCAUAUGGUCAGAUAAUGGUCAGAAAAGGUUGGAUUAUGGUCAGAAAAAGGUUGGAUUAUGUCCAAAUAAUGGUCAGAUAAGGUUGGCAUAUGGUCAGAUAAUGGUCAGAAAAGAAAAGGUUGGAUUAUGGUCAGAAAAGGUUGGAUAAAGGUCAUUUUAUGACGUUGUAUAGACGUCGGUUUCUGACGUCUAAAAAACUUUCAAAUCCAACCUUCUGCCAACGUUUACCCAACGUCAGGGUCUAACGUCAGUACAACGUUGGUACAACGUCUUUUGUUUGCUGGGU